Molecule: long non-coding RNA, 274 nt
Organism: Mobula hypostoma (lesser devil ray)
Lineage: Eukaryota; Metazoa; Chordata; Chondrichthyes; Myliobatiformes; Myliobatidae
Exons: 3
Source: RefSeq, a predicted model, not a curated record
GUUGAACUGGCCAGCUGAUUCAUGCAGUCCGAGUCACUUAUAAUAAGCACGCAUUUUAGAUAUCGCAUUAAAUAUGCCAAAGUCUACUGAUUCAGAGUUGAAGAGAGCAGUCUUACUCAACGAUAACAUCUAUUGAAGUGAAACCAAACUGUCAUAAGCCAAAACCUACAUCGAAGUGCAAAGCCCGUAUAAUUCGUUACUACUUCAACACAGUCACUCAGAGAUGUGAAAAGUUUAUUUAUGGUGGCUGCAACAGCAAUGGAAAUAACUAUAG